This 492-nucleotide ribosomal RNA is filed under the name uncultured bacterium. RNAcentral describes it as "partial 16S ribosomal RNA". It matches the Rfam family "Bacterial small subunit ribosomal RNA", at positions 29 to 507 of the family's 1533-position model. The record is from RNAcentral.
AGUGAACGCUGGCGGUAGGCCUAACACAUGCAAGUCGAACGGCAGCACAGUAAGAGCUUGCUCUUACGGGUGGCGAGUGGCGGACGGGUGAGGAAUACAUCGGAAUCUACUUUUUCGUGGGGGAUAACGUAGGGAAACUUACGCUAAUACCGCAUACGACCUACGGGUGAAAGCAGGGGAUCUUCGGACCUUGCGCGAUUGAAUGAGCCGAUGUCGGAUUAGCUAGUUGGCGGGGUAAAGGCCCACCAAGGCGUCGAUCCGUAGCCGGUCUGAGAGGAUGAUCAGCCACACUGGAACUGAGACACGGUCCAGACUCCUACGGGAGGCAGCAGUGGGGAAUAUUGGACAAUGGGCGCAAGCCUGAUCCAGCCAUACCGCGUGGGUGAAGAAGGCCUUCGGGUUGUAAAGCCCUUUUGUUGGGAAAGAAAAGCAGCAGGUUAAUACCCCGCUGUUCUGACGGUACCCAAAGAAUAAGCACCGGCUAACUUCGUG